GACGAACGCUGGCGGCGUGCUUAACACAUGCAAGUGGAGCGACGAACCAGGCUUCGGCCUGGGGCAGAGCCGCGAACGGGUGAGUAACACGUGGGUAACCUGCCCUGAUGAUCGGGACAACCCGGGAAACCCGGGCUAAUACCGAAUGUGCCCGCGAGCCGCAAGGCUUGCGAGGAAAGGAAGCUUCGGCCUCCGCAUCGGGAUGGGCCCGCGGCCCAUUAGCUUGUUGGUGGGGUAACGGCCUACCAAGGCAGCAAUGGGUAGCUGGUCUGAGAGGACGAUCAGCCACACUGGGACUGAGACACGGCCCAGACUCCUACGGGAGGCAGCAGUGGGGAAUCUUGCGCAAUGCGCGAAAGCGUGACGCAGCAACGCCGCGUGGGGGAAGACGGCCU
RNAcentral lists this ribosomal RNA (395 nucleotides) under uncultured bacterium. RNAcentral describes it as "bacterial SSU rRNA". It matches the Rfam family "Bacterial small subunit ribosomal RNA", at positions 28 to 417 of the family's 1533-position model. The record is from RNAcentral.